AGGUGUUACACUAAACCACACCUGAAUAACAAGAGAAGAACAUGGACACAUAUAGAAGAAACAACGAUUGCUGUGUCAAUGGUAGACAUUCUGGAGAUCCAAACGAUAAUAGUUCUGACUCCACAAGCUGCUGGACACCAAGAUGUUAUUUCUGGAGCAGUCAUCAAGCAAGAUUAACGAUGUGCACAUUUCACAAUGAUGAUACCAAGCCAGAAGACGCCUGGAGAUACUGGUUUCAUAGGUCAAAUCAAAGCUGUCCAGGGCAUGGUUUAGAUUCAGAUCAUCUGCACGAUAGCUCGAUGUGGCCCCCUGACUAACGGGUUACGGCUGCUCCAGGUGAUCACGUGACAAUACCAGUUCCACGUCUUCCUGCUCCGUAAACACCAUCAUCACCAUUGUGGAAUGUACAUCACGUUAUCUUUGACGACGACACGACAAAUAAAGCAAUGUGUUUGGCGUGAACUAUCAGAUUACGACAGCUUGUAAGUGACAACCAUCCUAUUGCAGAGCCAGGCGACAGCUUGUAAGUGACAACCAUCCUGUUGCAGAGCCAGGCGACAGCUUGUAAGUGACAACCAUCCUAUUGCAGAGCCAGACGACAGCUUGUAAGUGACAACCAUCCUAUUGCAAAGCCAGACGACAGCUUGUAAGUGACAACCAUCCUAUUGCAGAGCCAGGCGACAGCUUGUAAAUGACAACCAUUAUAUUGCAAGUGCACGAGUAAGGUUUCGGGGGUCGAUACCUCUACCAGCUGAAGCAAAUUUGCUCUCCCCCUCUAUAAACUGGUCGCCACAGUCCAGACCCCCCCCCCCCCUCCCCUGCUGAAUUCCCCACACAAGCGCCUGAGAAUGUUCUUUAUAGUUGAAUGUAGGAGGCUAUAUGAGAAGAGUAAGCAGCUAUUAUAAACAAAACGUGAAGGGCACUGACAACAGCAGUGGUCUUCAAACAUUGUCACCUGUCUUCUACUGAUGGUCACUAUUGCUUUAGUCGGGGCGCUGACCGACUUUUUGGAUAUAGACCGAGGCAUGGCAGCCACACUAAUAGCAGAAUGAGGGGAGACAACCCCAGGAGAAGCGUGUAACGAGUAGACAGCCCGGAGUCACGUUCAGAAUCUGUGCCAAGUGUUUGCUGACAAAAGGUCUUGGAGAAAUAGCUUUCGAUUAUAAGUCAUAAGUGGACGCUGAGACUUUGUAACUGCUUUUGAUUGAGUAAACUAGUCGGGGAGUGACAGUCCUCUCUAUGGCGAUGCAAGCGGGUGAAAUCUGAACUGUUGUGCUAGUUUUGAUUUAAUACACUAGUCUGAUAAUGGCAGUCCUCUGUGGCGAUGCAAGCGGGUGAAAUCUGAACUGUUGUGCUAGUUUUGAUUUAAUACACUAGUCUGAUAAUGGCAGUCCUCUAUGGCGAUGCAAGCGGGUGAAAUCUGAACUGUUGUGCUAGUUUUGAUUUAAUACACUAGUCUGAUAAUGGCAGUCCUCUAUGGCGGUGCAAGAGGGGUGAAAUCGCCAGUAAAAUAUCUCCUCAGGAGUGGCUGUCCUCCUAUAGAGGAGGCACUAGACAGUGAUUAGGGGAAUCAACCACUAGUUUGCCAAAUUCCUAUUCGACAUACGCCCCUGAUAGUGUAUUACGGUUUUGUCUUUUAGAUUCCAAAAAUAUAACCAACUCAAACAAAAAAUAAAAAUAAAUAAAUAAAUACAUCUAAGCAGCAUUUGACCCUUUAAAAAUAUUUUCAUAAUAGUAUUUUCCCAGUGAGCAACUGGUCUGUGAUCAUUUCUCUGGUGACCAAUUGGCUACAUCCAUGGCCAUAGUGAACUGAUGUUCUAAACCAACACUACUGUGAUUGCCCUAGACAUUCUGAUAUUCUCUCUCCACAGUUCGCUAUCAAACGCUUGUGAUAAACCUCUGUCGAAGACUAUUAUUUCUAAAUAAUACUGACGUCACAACCAAACUAGUUGUUUGCAUGACAUUGUGACAUUGUGGUAUUAUGUUUCAUUAUGUGUAUCUGCCCAAGAUCUCGGGGCACGUUAAGUCAAUACUUUUCAUAGUAACAACCACACUUACUACGUCCCUCCGGACUAUACCUACCCAUACCCAGCUUGCAUGAUGAACCAUGUACAUGCCACAGUAGAAAAUAACACAGAACUUUAUUACACCCAGGCUGUUAGGCAACAGCAUAUGGGGAAACAUGAACAAAUACAUAGUAUAAUAUGUGACAAGACAGGACAGGG
This 2225-nucleotide long non-coding RNA is filed under the name Gigantopelta aegis. RNAcentral's name for it is "uncharacterized LOC121369440". The record is from RNAcentral. Lineage: Eukaryota; Metazoa; Mollusca; Gastropoda; Neomphalida; Peltospiridae.